UCAAAUUAGCAAUCUUUGAAUUUAAUGUUUUAGGUGGUUUUUAUUCAUCUUUUUUAAAGAUGAGAAUUUUGCACAAAAUCUGUACCAAAGAACAAGAGUCAAAGGUGCCUAAGCAUGGUGCCUCAUGUGUACCAGAAAACAGAAGUAAAGGCCCUCUCACAGGUCACUUACAGCAGUGACAGGACAAGUACAUCUGAUAUACUGAAUUGUUUAAGAUGGGGUGCAUUGCAAGAAGGCAGAAAUAUAGAAGCGAAAAAAGCAAGAGCAAAAAAUGAGUAUAAGAAUGGAAGAAAGUGAAGAGAAAGAGGAAGGAAGAAAGGAAGAAACAAGUAAUGUACAAUGAUGUUACUCUAAGGAAUUUUUAUAUUUUUAUAUUAGAG
Molecule: long non-coding RNA, 380 nt
Filed under: Fukomys damarensis (Damara mole-rat)
Lineage: Eukaryota; Metazoa; Chordata; Mammalia; Rodentia; Bathyergidae
Description: lncRNA (ENSFDAG00000021986.1)
Source: RNAcentral